CGUAGGGUGCGAGCGUUAAUCGGAAUUACUGGGCGUAAAGCGUGCGCAGGCGGUGAUGUAAGACAGGUGUGAAAUCCCCGGGCUUAACCUGGGAACUGCAUUUGUGACUGCAUCGCUGGAGUGCGGCAGAGGGGGAUGGAAUUCCGCGUGUAGCAGUGAAAUGCGUAGAUAUGCGGAGGAACACCGAUGGCGAAGGCAAUCCCCUGGGCCUGCACUGACGCUCACGCACGAAAGCGUGGGGAGCAAACAGGAUUAGAUACCCUGGUAGUCCACGCCCUAAACGAUGUCAACUGGUUGUGGGUCUUCACUGACUCAGUAACGAAGCUAACGCGUGAAGUUGACCGCCUGGGGAUACGGCCGCAAGGUUG
This 368-nucleotide ribosomal RNA is filed under the name uncultured organism. RNAcentral's name for it is "bacterial SSU rRNA". It matches the Rfam family "Bacterial small subunit ribosomal RNA", at positions 526 to 896 of the family's 1533-position model. The record is from RNAcentral.